Molecule: ribosomal RNA, 299 nt
Filed under: Streptococcus agalactiae str. Gottschalk 2864
Lineage: Bacteria; Bacillati; Bacillota; Bacilli; Lactobacillales; Streptococcaceae
Description: partial 16S ribosomal RNA
Rfam family: Bacterial small subunit ribosomal RNA
Source: RNAcentral
UUUAAUGAGAGUUUGAUCCUGGCUCAGGACGAACGCUGGCGGCGUGCCUAAUACAUGCAAGUAGAACGCUGAGGUUUGGUGUUUACACUAGACUGAUGAGUUGCGAACGGGUGAGUAACGCGUAGGUAACCUGCCUCAUAGCGGGGGAUAACUAUUGGAAACGAUAGCUAAUACCGCAUAAGAGUAAUUAACACAUGUUAGUUAUUUAAAAGGAGCAAUUGCUUCACUGUGAGAUGGACCUGCGUUGUAUUAGCUAGUUGGUGAGGUAAAGGCUCACCAAGGCGACGAUACAUAGCCGA